CACGUAGUUAGCCGGCGCUUUUUCUGCAGGUACCGUCAAUUUCUCUUCUUCCCUGCUAACAGAGGUUUACAACCCGAAGGCCGUCAUCCCUCACGCGGCGUCGCUGCAUCAGGCUUGCGCCCAUUGUGCAAUAUUCCCCACUGCUGCCUCCCGUAGGAGUCUGGGCCGUGUCUCAGUCCCAGUGUGGCCGGUCACCCUCUCAGGCCGGCUACCCGUCGUCGCCUUGGUGAGCCGUUACCUCACCAACAAGCUGAUAGGCCGUGAGCCCAUCUAUAACCACUACAUAACGCUUUCCACCAACACCCCAUGCGGAGAUUGGUCGUAUCCGGUAUUAGACCCAGUUUCCCAGGCUUAUCCCAGAGUUAAAGGUAGGUUACUCACGUAUUACUCACCGUUCGCCACUAAUCCACCUAGCAAGCUAGGCUUCAUCGUUCGACUUGCAUGUGUUAAGCACGCCGCCAGCCGUUCGUCCUGUAGCCGAGGAUACGAAACUACU
RNAcentral lists this ribosomal RNA (496 nucleotides) under uncultured Rothia sp. Its description in RNAcentral is "partial 16S ribosomal RNA". The record is from RNAcentral. Lineage: Bacteria; Bacillati; Actinomycetota; Actinomycetes; Micrococcales; Micrococcaceae.